Molecule: ribosomal RNA, 253 nt
Filed under: uncultured bacterium
Lineage: Bacteria
Description: partial 16S ribosomal RNA
Rfam family: Bacterial small subunit ribosomal RNA
Source: RNAcentral
UACGAGUGCCUCAAGCGUUAUCCGGAAUCAUUGGGCGUAAAGGGUGUGUAGGUGGUCUUGUUAGUCUUCUGUCAAAUUCUUCGGCUUAACCGGGGGUCCGCAGAGGAAACGGCAAGACUCGAGGGUGCGAGGGGUGAAUGGAACUCAUAGUGUAGGGGUGAAAUCCGUUGAUAUUAUGGGGAACACCAAAAGCGAAGGCAAUUCACUGGCGCAUUCCUGACACUGAAACACGAAAGCGUGGGUAGCGAAUGGG